UACAGAGGGGGCGAGCGUUGUUCGGAAUUACUGGGCGUAAAGGGCGCGUAGGCGGCCUUCUAAGUCGAACGUGAAAUCCCCGGGCUCAACCCGGGAACUGCGUCCGAUACUGGGAGGCUUGAAUCCGGGAGAGGGAUGUGGAAUUCCGCGUGUAGCAGUGAAAUGCGUAGAUAUGCGGAGGAACACCGAUGGCGAAGGCAAUCCCCUGGACCUGUACUGACGCUCAUGCACGAAAGCGUGGGGAGCAAACAGG
This 253-nucleotide ribosomal RNA is filed under the name uncultured bacterium. Its description in RNAcentral is "partial 16S ribosomal RNA". It matches the Rfam family "Bacterial small subunit ribosomal RNA", at positions 524 to 776 of the family's 1533-position model. The record is from RNAcentral.